GUGUCAGCCGCCGCGGUAAUACGUAGGAGGCAAGCGUUAUCCGGAUUUACUGGGCGUAAAGCGGGCGUAGGCGGUCCUUCAAGUCGGAUGUAAAAUCUCCCGGCUCAACUGGGAGAGACCAUUCGAAACUGCUGGACUUGAGGAUAGCAGAGGGAGGUGGAAUUCCCGGUGUAGUGGUGAUAUGCGUAGAUAUCGGGAGGAACACCAGUGGCGAAGGCGGCCUCCUGGGCUAUUUCUGACGCUGAGGCCCGAAAGCGUGGGGAGCGAACAGAAUUAGAUACUCUGGUAGUCCACGCUAUAAACGAUGGACACUAGGUAUGGGGAGUAUCGACCCUCUCUGUGCCGAAGCUAACGCGUUAAGUGUCCCGCCUGGGGACUACGGCCGCAAGGCUAAAACUUAAAGGAAUUGACGGGG
Molecule: ribosomal RNA, 415 nt
Filed under: uncultured prokaryote
Description: bacterial SSU rRNA
Rfam family: Bacterial small subunit ribosomal RNA
Source: RNAcentral